This 556-nucleotide ribosomal RNA is filed under the name Peribacillus frigoritolerans. RNAcentral's name for it is "bacterial SSU rRNA". It matches the Rfam family "Bacterial small subunit ribosomal RNA", at positions 367 to 917 of the family's 1533-position model. The record is from RNAcentral. Lineage: Bacteria; Bacillati; Bacillota; Bacilli; Caryophanales; Bacillaceae.
CGUAGAAGCAGAGUCUGACGGAGCACGCCGCGUGAACGAAGAAGGCCUUCGGGUCGUAAAGUUCUGUUGUUAGGGAAGAACAAGUACCAGAGUAACUGCUGGUACCUUGACGGUACCUAACCAGAAAGCCACGGCUAACUACGUGCCAGCAGCCGCGGUAAUACGUAGGUGGCAAGCGUUGUCCGGAAUUAUUGGGCGUAAAGCGCGCGCAGGUGGUUCUUUAAGUCUGAUGUGAAAGCCCACGGCUCAACCGUGGAGGGUCAUUGGAAACUGGGGAACUUGAGUGCAGAAGAGGAAAGUGGAAUUCCAAGUGUAGCGGUGAAAUGCGUAGAGAUUUGGAGGAACACCAGUGGCGAAGGCGACUUUCUGGUCUGUAACUGACACUGAGGCGCGAAAGCGUGGGGAGCAAACAGGAUUAGAUACCCUGGUAGUCCACGCCGUAAACGAUGAGUGCUAAGUGUUAGAGGGUUUCCGCCCUUUAGUGCUGCAGCUAACGCAUUAAGCACUCCGCCUGGGGAGUACGGCCGCAAGGCUGAAACUCAAAGGAAUUGACGGA